AGAGUUUGAUCAUGGCUCAAAUUGAACGCUGGCGGCAUGCUUUACACAUGCAAGUCGAACGGCAGCACGGGGGCAACCCUGGUGGCGAGUGGCGAACGGGUGAGUAAUGCAUCGGAACGUGUCUUCGAGUGGGGGAUAACGCACCGAAAGGUGUGCUAAUACCGCAUAAUCUCUACGGAGAAAAGCAGGGGAUCGCAAGACCUUGCGCUCUUGGAGCGGCCGAUGUCUGAUUAGCUAGUUGGUGAGGUAAAGGCUUACCAAGGCGACGAUCAGUAGCUGGUCUGAGAGGACGACCAGCCACACUGGGACUGAGACACGGCCCAGACUCCUACGGGAGGCAGCAGUGGGGAAUUUUGGACAAUGGGGGAAACCCUGAUCCAGCCAUGCCGCGUGAGUGAAGAAGGCCUUCGGGUUGUAAAGCUCUUUCAGCCGGAACGAAACGGUCACGGCUAAUACCUGUGACUACUGACGGUACCGGAAGAAGAAGCACCGGCUAACUACGUGCCAGCAGCCGCGGUAAUACGUAGGGUGCAAGCGUUAAUCGGAAUUACUGGGCGUAAAGCGUGCGCAGGCGGUUUUGUAAGUCAGAUGUGAAAUCCCCGGGCUUAACCUGGGAACUGCGUUUGAAACUACAAGGCUAGAGUGUGGCAGAGGGGGGUGGAAUUCCACGUGUAGCAGUGAAAUGCGUAGAGAUGUGGAGGAACACCGAUGGCGAAGGCAGCCCCCUGGGUUAACACUGACGCUCAGGCACGAAAGCGUGGGGAGCAAACAGGAUUAGAUACCCUGUAGUCCACGCCCUAAACGAUGUCAACUAGUUGUCGGGUCUUAACGGACUUGGUAACGCAGCUAACGCGUGAAGUU
This 861-nucleotide ribosomal RNA is filed under the name uncultured soil bacterium. RNAcentral describes it as "bacterial SSU rRNA". It matches the Rfam family "Bacterial small subunit ribosomal RNA", at positions 8 to 866 of the family's 1533-position model. The record is from RNAcentral.